RNAcentral lists this ribosomal RNA (494 nucleotides) under uncultured bacterium. RNAcentral describes it as "partial 16S ribosomal RNA". It matches the Rfam family "Bacterial small subunit ribosomal RNA", at positions 28 to 507 of the family's 1533-position model. The record is from RNAcentral.
GACGAACGCUGGCGGCGUGCUUAACACAUGCAAGUCGAACGGUGAAGCGCCUUCCUUUUUGGUGGGUGUGGAUGAGUGGCGAACGGGUGAGUAACACGUGAGUAACCUGCCCCCUUCUUCUGGAUAACCGCAUGAAAGUGUGGCUAAUACGGGAUAUUCUGGGUCUGUCGCAUGAUGGGUCUGGGAAAGAUCUUGUUUCGGUGGGGGGUGGGCUCGCGGCCUAUCAGCUUGUUGGUGGGGUGAUGGCCUACCAAGGCGGUGACGGGUAGCCGGCCUGAGAGGGUGGACGGUCACACUGGGACUGAGACACGGCCCAGACUCCUACGGGAGGCAGCAGUGGGGAAUAGUGCACAAUGGGCGCAAGCCUGAUGCAGCGACGCCGCGUGAGGGAUGGAGGCCUGCGGGUUGUGAACCUCUUUCGCCAGUGAAGCAGGCCUGCCUCGUUUGUGGGUGGGUUGACGGUAGCUGGAGAAGAAGCGCCGGCUAACUACGUG